AAAAGAAUAGAAAAGAGAAGAAGAACAGAAAAGAAACAGAGAAAGAGACGAAAACAGGGGAAGAAAAAGGGAAAGAAAAAAAGGGGGGAAAAUUGAGAUUUUGAAGCUUGAAAGUUAAUAGCUAAUAUCGAGCCUGAAGCAUCGGCCCAAAAAGGAAAAGAAAAGAUCGUCGAGGAUUAAAUCCGAAGAGAAUUCCGGUUGAAAAGGGGUUAGAGUCUCGGUUCAGCAUCCAGGACAAUCCCGACUCCGACAUAAAGAUUUUGGUGAUGUUUUCUUUCUUGUAAGAGAAAGUGACAUGUACAUAAGAAUUAUAAUAGUUAUUUUAGUAUGUUAUAUAGUUUUGUUGUAAAGUAAGAUAUUAUGUAUUUUGAUGAUUAUAUUAGUAAAUUGGUAGAAGUCCUUUAUGGCA
Long non-coding RNA from Gossypium raimondii (Peruvian cotton), 409 nucleotides. RefSeq lists it as uncharacterized. The record is from RefSeq and is a predicted model, not a curated record. The transcript has 3 exons. Lineage: Eukaryota; Viridiplantae; Streptophyta; Magnoliopsida; Malvales; Malvaceae.